ACAGAACACAUCAGUGGUGAGUUCAAGAGUUUUCAGGACUGUGAAGUCAAAAUCCGCUCAUAGUACGGCAGCGAUGGCACGUCCAAUCAAAAGACUUGGAUUCUAUUUGUUUCGUUUCAAGGGAUCAUGAUGAAGGUCUUCUUCAAGACCUCACUGAAGUGGACGGAUCGGGGAGAGCGUGCUUUCAUGACAAUGUCAUCGGCGGGACUUUUCCAUGUGAGCAGUUGCAUAUGAGUUCCUCAUCACAUCUGUGUCCACCCACUAAAGAACGAAGGGAAAAGGCUUCAUCUUCAUCUCUCUCAGUGUUGGUGUCGCUGGUGUGUGACGGGUGGGUGUUUUUACUGUCUGUUAGUUACUCAUUAGAUUUCUCUCUCUCUCUCUCUCCAUCAAAUAAGUGACACACUUUUUCACAGGCCCCGUUCGUCUCAUCCAGAGCCACUUCUCAUUUCUACACUUCUGUUUUUUUCAUUUGAAUUCUCACCGGCCACAAACCCAGAGGAGCCGGAGAAGUGCUCGCUGCCACCAAGAGAGGCUGUUUUACAUUAAAAAUGCUUUUGAGCUGAGGUAACAUCAUGCUUUAAUAAUGUACAACACCAGGCAGCAUGGAGCAAAAUACAUUUUUAAUUACUAAAGUGACUAAUAUCUGAGGUUCUGCUUUGAGGUUUUGGUUUCAUUAAAUAUUCAUGUGUUUUUUUUUUUCUUUCUUGGCAUUCAUGCAUCUGAGCCCCACACCUGGAGUUCAGCGCUGCACUUUCUGCCAGAGGACGGCACAUUUACACACGUACUGAACACACAACACACCUCUCAGGAUCCGCGGCGUGUCACACAAGACCUGCUCCAGGAUCUCAGCUGUCAUUCGCUCCCAAAUCUGCUCGCAAUCCCCUGAAACAAGAAACCAGCUAAACACAUGACAGUGACACAAUAUCGCGCUCUUCCUCAGGAUAUGAUGUUGAUGCUCAUCAAAGUGCCAUUUCAGCUUAAAAUAUGAAUGCGUCUCACGUGAACGUCUGAAAGCGUUUGUGUUCUGAUGGUUUUAUUACUGUAAUGACCUGAUCAAUAUCAGUCCUUUUGUUAUUUUGUUUAUUUCUGAAAUAUGUGGGUUAUUGUAUUUUGUUUGAUAAAGUGUUUAAUGCAUAUGCAAGAAGAUUUAUCAUUUAAUUAUUUCUAUGCUGUUCAGAUGUGCCUGGUAAUUUAACAGUUGAGUUGUGUUUUCUUUAAAAUGUUUUAAGGAUGGUUCAUUACAUAAGAGAAGCUCACUAAUCAAUAUGUUAAUGUUAGAGAUUUAGUGAUUAAUAAAGUAUCCUGUUGAACUACGUGAAAUCCCGUGAGAGAGGAGAACGGAAACGGGAAGCGGGAGAAAAAAAAACGAAAAACUGAGCACGAGAGUGAGCACGAGGGCUAGUCUGCUAUUAACACAGAGUUUGUGGGCUUAACGCUUUAAGUUGGACUAUAAUUUGUUUCAUCAGAAACCGCGCUCUCUGCGUAGGUGUUUGUGACUGAGGGAAAGUGAAAUACCGCCGGAGGUGUGUGUUUUUGGACUGUGACGUGAGCUUAGGCCUGUUAGCCUCUCUGGCUAAAUUAGCUCGUGGUUUUGCAGUAACGUUACUGUCAUACGGUCGCGGGAGUGACCGCAUACACUUUGUUUGCCUGGUGGACGAGAGAAGACAACAUCGAGAAGAGAGUCGCAGGCUGACGCAGAUGUUUUCUUCAUUGGGGACCGUUUGGCUGUCGAUGCGGGACGGAUGACGCUGAUUAACCCUCGCUGUGCCGCUUGCAAACGGAGUUCGUCUGACGAGAAAGAGAGUUACAAUCGCGGUAGGAUCCGGGUUUUUCACUCUACACCAGGAGGUAUUGUUGCUUUCUUCAUUUUAUGAGCUCCAACAUUAAGCGCGCCAACGAACUAACUUAAUGCAGGCCUGCUAAAAGAACUGAAAAAUAAGAGUGCACUCAGGUUAUCACAGACUAUUGACUUCAUUACCCAGGUUUUUUUCCCCUCUAAAUUGGGUUUUAUUUUCAUAUUUGCUCUUUGCUGUUCAAUUGUUAUGUGAGUUUGUAUAAUACAAAAGGAGGAAAUUGAGCUAUGGCGUUCUUGUUGUUUAUUCUUUCACCAGCCAUUGUAUUUGUGUAGCUCAGUGUUUUCUGUGGUAAUAUUCUAUAUUUUAAAACCAAGAAUAUUCUUUCAGGUACCCAUUGAUAAGCAAAGAGAUAGUGAGAAUCAUAGUGUUCUUAGACAGGGUCAUUAUACAAUGGAAUGUCUCUUUCACCAUUUUACCAAGCAUUAGGGUUAAGAGGGUUCAAUACUUUAUACGCUGCUGUAUAACGUACUUGCCUCAUCACGAGCCUAUGGUGGAAAGGGUUACAUUUUUGGGGGCUCGUCCGGGAUAUUAGUAGAUUUGUAAUAUUCCUCAGUUCUCACUU
Long non-coding RNA from Cyprinus carpio carpio, 2418 nucleotides. The record is from Ensembl. Lineage: Eukaryota; Metazoa; Chordata; Actinopteri; Cypriniformes; Cyprinidae.